RNAcentral lists this long non-coding RNA (513 nucleotides) under Homo sapiens (human). Its description in RNAcentral is "non-protein coding lnc-TSPAN12-2:1". The record is from RNAcentral. Lineage: Eukaryota; Metazoa; Chordata; Mammalia; Primates; Hominidae.
AGCAAAGGUGUUAUGGUCUGAAUUGUGUUCCCCCCAAAAUCCAUACGUUGAAGUUCCAACUCCCAGUACCUUAAAAUAUGACCAUAUUUGGAGAUAGGGCCUCAAAGCAUGAGAUGAAGUUAAAGUGAGGUCAUUGAGGGGUCACCAUAAUUCAUUAUGACUGGUGUCCCUUUAGGAAGAGGAGAUUAGGACACAGACACACACAGAGGGAAGACCAUGGGAAGACACAGAGGGAAGAUGGCCAUGGAAAAGCUAGAGAGAGAGAGUUCUCAGAAGAAGUAACUCUGCCAACACCUUGAUCUCAGAUUUCUAGCCUCCAAAGGUUAUACCAUGCAGUUUCUCAAAACUAUUUCAAGGACAUGUUGGAAGGAACUGGAGGUUGCAGUUGACUCUGUUGUAGCCUUGCCAGCAUACGUUUUCUGGACUGAAAGCACCUGUCUCUCACUUUCUGUGAGUGUUAGUGGGAACAGUUGCAGUUAUAUUCUUUUUAGAAUUGACCUAAAUAAAAGGGAG